This 335-nucleotide unclassified non-coding RNA is filed under the name soil metagenome. RNAcentral's name for it is "partial contains 5.8S ribosomal RNA, internal transcribed spacer 2, and large subunit ribosomal RNA". The stretch from base 1 to 120 matches the Rfam family "5.8S ribosomal RNA", at positions 35 to 154 of the family's 154-position model. The record is from RNAcentral.
GAUGAAGAACGUAGCGAAAUGCGAUAAGUAAUGUGAAUUGCAGAAUUCAGUGAAUCAUCGAAUCUUUGAACGCACAUUGCGCCCAUUAGCAUUCUAGUGGGCAUGCCUGUUCGAGCGUCAUUUCAACCCUUAAGCCCUGUUGCUUAGCGUUGGGAGCCAACAGUACUGUAGCUCCCCAAAGUUAGUGGCGGAGUCGGUUUCACACUCUAGACGUAGUAAUUUUUUCUCGUCUGUAGUUGAGCCGGUCCCCUGCCGUAAAACACCCAAUUUAUCAAGGUUGACCUCGGAUCAGGUAGGAAUACCCGCUGAACUUAAGCAUAUCAAUAAGCGGAGGA